CUCCGCCUCUACGCGCUCGCGGUCGCCGCUCCUCUCCCGCCUUUGUUCUCGGGUCGCCCCUCUCGCUGGUGGCGCUCCGAGAGAGCAGCGGAGCCACCUGCCCAGGCCACGCUUCCCCGAGCAUCCGCAGCUGCACCCGGGGGCUGUCGGCGCCCGCCCCGGAGCGUGCGGGAGGCACAGCGGGAAGAAGUCGCUGAGAUUCGGCCCUCGUGGCUUUGCGUGCCCGCGUGGUUGAUGCCUCCGCCGAGAACGCGGUCGGCCGGGAGCCGGGGAGGAGCGUGGACGCCGGCCUGGCAGGUACCCCCGCGAGAACGUGGGAGCCGGUGUAUUUCAGCUGCAUUUAUUACUGAUCUCGGGCUGCACCAGGGCACUUGUAGGACCGCACUAAAAACAGCGGAAAGUGAGGAGCCAAGCCUGGGUCCGGGGCGGCCCGCCGUACAGCUGGCCUCACGGAUUCCACUGCCUGCGCCUGCAGAUGACUUGUUCUGGAGAGUAGAGAAUGUUCUCGGAUUUAAAGUACAAUCCGGUUUCCUUUCCAUUCAUUAUAGUUGCCUACACUCAACAAACAAAAGUUGGGAAAGAUAAAGGGAUUAUUCUAGCGCGUCACAUUGACAAACACCGACGUUAACACGCUCAGUCCAGCCUGACUCACUUGCCUCAGGUCAGAGAGGUCACCACUGACGACGCCGGGCCCUCAAGCCGAUCCUAAUCCAGCUUGGUUCUCUCAGCCUCAGCCAGACCAUCCGUUCUUGCCUCUGUCCCACCACGUGCAGGUGUAAGCUUCCGCCGCACUUCUUGUCUGAAUCUGCCAAGAAGAAACUGCAUCUUUCAGCUAAAUUCUUUUCACUGAUCAGGGUAGAGUUUAGCGGUUUUUUUUUUAAGAAAAAAAACAAAAACAAAAAAAAACUCUUAAGCUAUUUGGUACUCCUCUCCCUCCGGGAUUCUGUCUCUAGAUUGUGAAAGCUGUCAGAGAAUGGAGUCAGGGAAAGCCGUGAUGGGAAAGUUCUCACUAAUAAUUGCCUGAUAUAAAGAAUUAGCACAAAAGACUGCCAAAACCACAACCUUGCACAAAGGCCACAAAACUACACAAAAAAAUGCUUCAAGGACAUUUGCGCAGCAACUGCCUGUCCAACCUUGGACUGGCCAUCCCCUUUGUUACUGAUCUUUGUAGCCAAGGAUAAUUGUUUCAAAACAACUUACGUAAUCCUCCUCGUUUUUCCUUUUAAACCCCUUAUCUUCCUUUACCUCCCUGAAUACACCUAUAGUUUACUAUGACACCAUAUUCUACAUUGCAAUGCCCACUUUCAAAUAAAUUUGUCAUGUUUGGCAAACCUGUCUGUUAUUUAGGUUGACAAGAUCAAAUGCAAAUUUAUUCUGGAGUCAACAAAUAACUGAUUCAGUCUUCCAAUGUGCAAGGCAAAGAAGAAUAUUAAGGAGACACUGUAUAGAUUAGAUCCCUGCCUAUAGGCAGCUUCAACACUAAUACAAUAUGGUACGAAUAUAUAAUUGUACUUUAAGGCAGCUUAGGUGGGAAAACAACUAGCAACUAAAAAAAAAAAUGGAGUUUACUACCAACUAAAAAAAAUGGAGGUUUCAAGGUUGACCUAGAAUUUGAAAACUGCUUUAAAGACAGGUAAGAAAGACACAGGUAGAUGUGCAAUGGAAGUAGAAAUUGGGUUUCAAGCCCCAAACAGGCUGAGGGGUGGGAAAAUAGACAUAUUCAGGUACAUCAAUCGUUCCAGUUUGGCAUAAGAAUGAGAUAAAUGAAGAUGGAUUCUAGGAGUUAAGGAUGAAAUAUGUAGGGAGGUACUAUGAUGUAAUGGAGAGAACAAAGAUUUCAAGUUAAGACUUUGGUUUAAAUCCCAGCUGUGCCUCUUAUUAGCUGUGUGAUCAAAGGUAAAUUAGUUAAUCUCUCUGACCCUCCAUUUCCUCAUUUGUAUGAUAACAAUAAUGUCCAAUUAUUCCACAAAUAUUUUAUGGCAAGCCAAGUAUUAACUAAGAACUAUGUUAAAUGAUGAAGAUAUAAAAAAACCAUUUAUUCAUUCAUUCAUCAAAUGAAUGCCUUACUGUUUACUAAGUUACACCCUGAGUUAGGCCCUGGAAAUACUGAUAAGGGGGAAAAAAGCAUGAAACCGUAUGAGACCACUUAGAUUAUGCAGAUAUACGUGAAAAUAAGGCCCAAGACCAAGAAGUCCAAAGGUACUCAACUUGUGGAAGUAAGAUAGAGAAGGAAAAAAAAGAAAACUAAGUGUAAAGUACUGUAAACUGAAAGGAGAGAGUGUUUUAAAAGAGGGACUGGUCAGCUCUCCUAAUGGAGAAGUUAGUAAGGUGGCAGAGAAGAAUACAUUGUAUUUAUCAACCUGGAGGUAAUUAACUGUCUUGACUGUUUCAAGCUAUUUCAGCAAAGUGGUGGUUUCAGAAACUAAAUUAAAGCAGAUUAAGGGAGGAAUGGAAGCCUAGGAAUUGGAGCCAGAGUAUAGACAACUCUUCUGUGUAGUUUUAUUAUAAAAAGUAAUGGAGAAAGAGAGUAUCUGGAGAGGUGGUAGGGAUGUUUUUAAGAUGGAAGACAUUAGCACAUGUUGGUAUACUGAAAAGAAUGACUGAGUAGGAAGGCAGAAAACCAUGAUUGAGCAGAGAGAGGAAAUGCUACUGGAAGGCAGCUUGUGAGAAGGCAAGGAAAAAUGGGCUCCAGAGCACAGGUAUUAGACAGGAAGCAGAAUCCACCCAAUUUAACAGGAAAGACAGAAGGUGGUCGCAGCUGCAAGCAGGUGAGUGGAAAACUUGAAGGUUUGUUUUUUUGUUUUUUUGUUUUUUUUUGAGACAGAGACUCACUCUGUUGCCCAGGUUGGAGUGCAGUGGCCUGAUCUCGGCUCACUGCAAGCUCCACCUCCUGGGUUCACGCCAUUCUCCUGCCUCAGCCUCCCAAGUAGCUGGGACUACAGGUGCCCGCUACCACACCUGGCUAAUUUUUUGUAUUUUUAGUAGAGACGGAGUUUCACCAUGUUAGCCAGGAUGGUCUCGAUCUCCUGACCUCAUGAUCUGCCUGCCUCGGCCUCCCAAAGUGCUGGGAUUACAGGCGUGAGCCACUGCACCCAGCCAACUUGAAGGAUUUUUAUUUCUGAUAUAUUUUCUUUCCUUCAUGAAAUAUAAAGGGAAAAUCAGCUGACAGUUGUGUAGGGGAGAGAGAUACAGAAGAUCUGAGGAAGAAGGAGGUGUGUCAGCAGGAAAGCAAAGUUUCCAGGAUGCCAAGUGUUUUGCCUUCUUGAGAGUUAUGGUCAUGAAUUUAAAGUGAAACUACUCGGUCUGGCUUUGUCAGGUUCUCAGUCAAGUUUACCUACUUGGAUUCAGGCUUGGACAAAGUGGAUAAUGGGGUUCAUUCAGGAAGGGGUUUUCCAGGUGAGGAAGAGGGACAAAGAAAUUGAAGUCUGUUUGUAAAGGAGUGAUUAUAAUGAUGAGCCAUGAUAUCUAAGCUGGACAAGGUAGGAAAUUUGAGGGCUAUAAAUGGUGAAAAAAGCCAAUGAACUGGAGAUUUCAAUAAGAUUAGAGAAUGGCUGUCUUCGGGGUACUAGAGGUGGUGAGCUGGAAGGACAGGAAAUGAUUGCAUGAGAAUAACUUGCUUGAAAUAAAGAUUUCAGAAGUCAUACUAAUAUUGGCGACAGCAAAGUCUAGAGGGGUAAAAGGCAACUGAAUGUGAGUUGGUUAAGGAAUUAGAAAGCAUACAGCCAGUCCUAGCUUGGCAUGGUAGAACAUGACUAGAAAAAUGACCAUGGAAGUUGAAAUUGUGCAAAGUGAUCUUAAUAAUCAAAGAGAAAAAUUAAAAUUGUUCUGUGACACUUAAGAACUUUUGUUGAAACAUCAAAAACUCUGUUACUGCUACGUAGACAUAUCAGGAAUUUUUUAAAUUGUAAAACUAAUUUAUUUAGUAUGCCAUAAUUUAAAACAUGAGAAACAUGGAGAAUCAGUCUUUAUUCUUUGUGAAAAACAAAAGAAAACAAAACAACUUACCAAUAGUAGUGUGAACUGUUUGCCUCUUCUCAUACUAUUAAUCUUCUGUCUUGAAAAAUUGUUAUUCUGCAUUCUAAGUUUAGAUUAGCUUCCAACAUUUUAUCUUUGCAUUUUCAAUCUUGUGAACUAUUCUCAGGAAUUCUUUAAUACAAAGUGUAUCAGCAACACUUCCUGUGGACCUCUUCACCCUUUUGUCACAGCCACUUUAAUCUCUUAACAUUAAUCAAUUCAUAAAAUGAUGAAACCAGAAUUUACUGGCUGAAUAAGGUUUUUAUUUAGUCUCUUUGUAAUUAUCAUUUUCUUUCAACAAGACAACCAACUUCAACACUUCACCCGAAUGCUAGCCAGACUGAUUGGGAAAAAAUUUAAAUUUAUUACAGUCUUCAGUCAAAAGCAGGAAAAAGUCUUUAUAUCGGCCAUAAUUUGCAUUCUCUUUCUAGUGCAAUUUAAACCAAAAGAUCCUGAAGCAACUUACCUUGUUUUUUCUACUUACUGAACUUUUUCUCUAUGGCUUCUAUGGUGCCUUUUGUGUAGGCCGAGGUCUCAUCCUAUCUUUGCUUUGCUUUUGUCAUUUUCAAAUUCCCUAAUCACAUCUAAUUUCAUUUCUGCAUUAUUAUUUUUUUAUUUGCUGUACUUUCAUCUUUCUUGGCCAAUUCCCUUUUAAUGAUCCAUUUUUGUAAAAUAUCAUGUUAGUUUAUCACUGGGAAUCAAGGAAGCUAUACAACUACAUGCUUUGCUGCUUGUAAACUGAAAAACUGAGUAACAGUUGUGCAGUGACCAAUAACUGACAGACUCUGAAAGAAGGAUUGUGAUAUCUGCUAUGGACUGAAUGUUUGUGCCUUACCUGCAAAUUCAUAAAUUGAAGCCCUAAUCCCCAGUGUGAUGGUAUUUGGAAGUGAGAACUUUGGGAGGUGAUUAGAUUUACAUGAGGUCACGAGAGCAGAGUCCCCAUGAUGGGGAUUAAUAUCCUUUCAAAAAGAAGAAGAGAUACAAGAUUCAUAUUCCUUCUCUUUCUCUCUCCCCUGCCCCCACCCCCACCAAGGAAAGACCAGGUAAGGACAUAACCAGGAAGAGGGCCCUCACCAAGAACCACCAUGUUGGCACCCUGAUCUCAGACUUUCAGCCUCUAGAACCUCAAUAAAAAAUAUUUGUUUAAGCAACCCAGUCUAAGGCAUUUAAUUAUAUUAGCCCAAGCUAAGACAGUGCCCAUCUGUUAUUUACAUAGUGAUCUGUGAACUGAAGAGCUAGCUGUGAAUUUUCUUCUUUAUGCAAUUCCUCACAUAAAGUUAAUAUGCAAUCAUAAUUGAAAUGUGAACCACCUUGUUGGGGAACUGGUAUUAUUUAACUAAACCACAGUAAAUGAAAUUUGCUUGAAUAUUCUGAAAGUGAAAAUUGCACAGUGCAUACUAGAACUGUGCAAAGUGAGGACUGCCUUGUUUUGGAUGGCUCAUCUAUGUGGAUGUUGAAGUCCCAAGGAAAGAUGACAGGAGUUGGGUGGGGAUGAAGAUUAUAUAAUCCAGUAGCUCAAGUCUUCAAGUGAUGGGGAGGAAUAAGCCAGGAACUACAGGCAGCAGAAAUCAACAGGUAAAAGAUUAUAUAUUCAGAUAGCAUACAUUUUCAGGAGCCAGAAUUUUUUUUAAGGUCAAAGGGGUUACCUACGCUAACUCCUGGCUGUAAGUCAUCAAAGAUUGAGAGGAAAAAAACAGCCUUCAUUUGAGAGGGCUGCAGUGGCACUCCUCUUCAGGGAAAAGUCAGAUUGCUUUUAAGGAAAGGAACUCAAAAUGCAUGUGGAAGAGAGGUUGGGAAUAUAGAGGAGCCUGAUGAACCAUAUAAAGAAAGUUCCGGCCGGGCGCGGUGGCUCACGCCUGUAAUCCCAGCACUUUGGGAGGCCGAGGCGGGCGGAUGGAUCACGAAGUCAGGAGAUCGAGACCAUCCUGGCUAACACAGUGAAACCCCAUCUCUACUAAAAAUACAAAAAAUUAGCCGGGCAUGGUGGCAGGCGCCUGUAGUCCCAGCUACUCAGGAGGCUGAGGCAUGAGAAUGGUGUGAACCUGGGAGGUGGAGCUUGCAGUGAGCCGAUGGACUGAAGGAAAUGUUUAUGUGAUAUUUUAUGUGAGUGAUCUUCACAGUGGGCAAGUGGUUCAAAAGUUAUGUAUCUGAAUACUUAGCAUGAUAGUCUAGUGGGGUCAGGUGAUACUACCCUUUUAUAGGAUCGUGGUGAAGUACAGCCUAGGUGGAGGAGCCUAGGGGAAAGAGGCUGAUGAUAGCAGGGCAGAGGUUUUCUUGGUACAGGUCUCAACAUAGCUUAUUGGGGAAGAAAAGGAGGAAAGGAGUUUUAUGUUAGAGGAAAGGCAAUAAUAGAAGAUAUUAUGGAGGACAAAGGGGGAUAUCUCACCCAAUCUGGAGAAGCAGUGAGAGAGACGUUGGAUUGACAGUGAGAAGUGUUGCUAGGAUCUGAGAUCUUUAUAAUGCACCUGGAAUCCACUUAACCUCAGAAAAUAGCAGAGUAUUACAUUAUGGACAAUCUAGAACCUUAAGAGUAGGCAGAAGAAUUGGUAUUCACUCAUAAGGCAAUCAAGAGCCACUGAGGGGUUUUGAGGCAAAGACUGAUACAAAGUUAUGCUUCCAAGAUGAAAACUCCAUCAGUUUUAUGUGUAAGGUAUGGAGAUGAGACGUAAGGCAAAGAAAAUAGGCCCAUUGGGUUUUCUCCCUGCCUCAUUCUUGGAAGCAUUUACUAGAGGUGCAGUUGCUGAAUACCAGCCCCCCAAUACAAAAGAAGUUCAGUGAAGUCAGGGGACUUGUCUGUUUUUUUCACCACAAUACAAUCUGCAUCUCCAACAGUGCCUAGAACAUAGUAGAUGCAUGAUUCUGUUGAACAAAAAAAUAAUAAAUGAAUCAAUGAAAUAAAGGGGCUAUUGAAACAGAUUUGAGAGAAGUGAGUACCUAGGCUACAGAUAUAACAAAUGGAAAAUUGAAGCUAUUUUGAGCCACUUCAAAAAAUUAAAAUCUAUAGAAUUUAACAACUAAGUAUAUAUGGGGUUUUACAGAAGGGAAAGAGAAAGAACAGAACUAAAGGUAAUUUGGAUGUGUCAGACCUAAUAAGAAUAAGUGUGCAUAAGUGCUUGAUUACAUAUUAUUUACUUUAAUUCACAUGCAAACCUUAGGAAAAAGGUAUAAUUCUCAUUUUACAAACAAGUCUAUCUAUGAGGCAGUCAACUCAAUUACCAGGUAGUAUAUUUUGCAAUUAAUUCAUCCUGACAAGUUCAUCAGGAAGGCAAAUUGCAUGAUAUGACAUAUUUCAUAGGUUAUUACUAAUUUUUUCUGUGGUCAAGAUUAGCAUCAAUAGCUCCUUUUAAAGAGGUUUUUGGCUACAACUAUCAUGUAUAUUCUCUGUAUAAUGGUGGAGUGAUUUUUUUUUCACCAAGCAUAUUUUUCUUUUAUUAUGAAAGAACAGUUGUUCUGAUAUAUAGUUGCCAGAAGGAAACUCUCAGGGAAUUUUAGUUUACUAAUAGAAUUGGUAGAAAUUGUAAGAAAAUGAUCAAAAUAUCUUUUUAUUUCUUCUUAAAAAAAUGGGAUACAUGUGCAGAAUGUCCAGAUUUGUUACAUAGGUAUACAUGUGCCGUGGUGGUUUGCUGCAUCUGUUGACCCAUCCUCUAAGUUCCCUCCCCUCCACUCUCACCCCCAACAGGCCCUGGUGUGUGUUGUUCCCCUCUCUUGUGUCCAUGUGUUCUCAAUGUUCAACUCCCACUUAUGAGUGAGAACAUGUGAUGUUUUUUUCUCCUGUGUUAGUUUGCUGAGGAUGAUAGCUUCCAGCUUCAUCCAUGUCCCUGCAAAGGACAUGAUCUCAUUCCUUUUUAUGGCUGCAUAGUAUACCAUGGUGUAUAUGUACCACAUUUUCUUUAUCCAGUCUAUCAUUGAUGGGCAUUUAGGUUAGUUCCAUGUCUUUGCUAUUGUGAAUAGUGCUGAAAUAAACAUACAUGUGCAUGUGUCUUCAUAGUAGAAUGAUUUAUAUUCCUUUGGGUAUAUACCCAGUAAUGGAAUUGCUGGGUCAAAUGGUAUUUCUGGUUCUAGAUCCUUGAGGAAUUGCCAUACUGUCUUCCACAAUGGUUGAACUAAUUUACAUUCUCACCAACAGUGUAAAAGUGUUCCUAUUUCUCUACAGCCUCGCCAGCAUCCAUUGUUUUCGGACUUUUUAAUAAUCACCAUUCUGACUGGUGUGAGAUGGUAUCUCAUUGUGGUUUUGAUUUGCAUUUCUUUGAUGAUCAGUGAUGUUGAGCUUUUUUUCCAUAUGUUUGUUGGCCACAUAAAUGUCUUCUUUUGAGAAAUGUCUGUUCAUAUCCUUUGCCCACUUUUUGAUGGGGUUGUUUUUUUUUUCUUGUAAAUAUGUUUAAGUACCUUGCAAAUUAUGGAUAUUAGACUUUUGUCAGAUGGGUAGAUCGCAAAAAUUUUCUCCCAUUCUGUAGGUUGCCAGUUCACUCUGAUGAUAGUUUCUUUUGCUGUACAGAAGCUCUUUAGUUUAAUUACAUUCCAUUUGUCAAUUUUGGCUUUUGUUGCAAUUGCUUUUGGCAUUUUUGUCAUGAAGUCUUUGCCCAUGCCUGUGUCCUGAAUGGUAUUGCCUAGGUUUUCUUCUAGAGUUUUUAUGGUUUUGGGUUUUACAUUUAAGUCUUUAAUCCAUCUUAAGUUACUUCUUGUAUAAGGUGUAAGGAAGGGGUCCAGUUUCAGUUUUCUGCAUAUGGCUAGCCAGUUUUCCCAGCACCAUUUACUGAAUAGGAGAUCCUUUUCCCAUUGCUUAUUUUUGUCAGGUUUGUCGAAGGUCAGAUGGCUGUAGAUGUGUGGUGUUAUUUCUGAGGUCUCUGUUCUGCUCCAUUGGUCUAUAUGUCUGUUUUGGUACCAGUACCAUGCUGUUUUGGUUACUGUAGCCUUGUAGUAUAGUUUGAAGUCAUGUAGCAUGAUGCCUCCAGCUUUGUUCUUUUUGCUUAGGAUUGUCUUGGCUAUAUAGGGUCUUCUUUGAUUCUAUAUGAAAUUUAAAAUAGUUUUUUCUAAUUCUGUGAAAAAUAUCAAUGGUAGUUUCAUGGGAAUAACAUUGAAUCUAUAAAUUACUUUGGGCAGUGUGGCCAUUUUCACAAUGGUGAUUCUUCCUAUCCCUGAGGAUGGAAUGUUUUCCCCUUUGUUUAUGUCCUCUCUUAUUUCCUUGAGCAGUGGUUUGUAGUUCUUGAAGAGGUGCUUCACAUCCCUUGUUAUCUCUAUUCCUAGGUAUUUUAUUCUCUUUGUAGUGAGUGUGAAUGGGAGUUUAUUCAUGAUUUGGCUCUCUGCUUACCUAUUGUUGGUGUAAAGGAAAGCUUGUGAUUUUUGCACAUUGAUUUUGUAUCCUGAGACUUUGCUGUAGUUGCUUAUCAGUUCCAGAAGUUUUGGGGCUGAGAUGAUGUGGUUUUCUAAAUAUAAAAUCAUGUCAUCUGCAAACAGAGACAACUUGACUUCCUCUGCCCCUAUUUGAAUACCCUUUAUUUCUUUCUCUUGCCUGAUUGCCCUGGCCAGAACUUCCAAUAUUAUGUUGAAUAGAAGUGGUGAGAGAGGGCAUCCUUGUCUUGUACUGGUUUUCCAAGGGAAUGCUUCCAGCUUUUGCCCAUUCAAUAUGAUAUUGGCUGUGGUUUUGUCAUAAAUAGCUCUUAUUAUUUUGAGAUCUGUUCCAUCAAUACCUAGUUUAUUGAGAGUUUUUUAACAUGAAGGGAUGUUGAAGUUUGUCAGCCCUAUCAAUCUGCAUCUAUUGAGAUAAUCAUGUGGUUUUUGUCUUUGGUUCUGUUUAUGAGAUGGAUUACAUUUAUUGAUUUGCAUAUGUUGAACCAGCCUUGCAUCCCAGGGAUGAAGCCGACUUGAUCGUGGUAGAUAAGUUUUUUGAUGUGCUGCUGGAUUCGGUUGGCCAGUAUUUUAUUGAGAAUUUUCACAUUGAUGUUCAUCAGGGAUAUUGGCCUGAAGUUUUCUUUUUUUUUGUUGUGUCUCUUCCAGGUUUUGGUAUCAGGGCGAUGCUGGCUUCAUAAAAUGAGUUAGGGAGGAUUCCCUCCUUUUCAAUUGUUUGGAAUAGUUUCAGAAGGAAUGGUACUAGCUCCUCUUUGUAUUUCUGGUAGAAUUCAGCUGUGAAUCCUUCUUGCCCUGGGCUUUUUUUGGUUGGUAGGCUAUUAAUUACUGCCUCAGUUUCAGAGCUUCUUAUUGGUCUAUUCAGGGAUUCAACUUCUUCCUGGUUUGGUCUUGGUAGGGUGUAUGCAUCCAGGAAUUUAUCCAUUUCUUCUAGAUUUUCUAGUUUAUUUGCAUAGAGGUGUUUGUAGUAUUCUCUAAUGGUAAUUUGUAUUUCUGUGGGGUCAGUGGUGAUAUCCCCUUUAUCAUUUUUUAUUGUGUCUAUUUGAUUCUUCUCUCUUCUUAUUAAUCUAGCUAGUGGUCUUUCUAUUUAGUUAAUUUUUUUUCAAAAAACCAGCUCCUGGAUUCAUGGAUUUUUUGGAGGGUUUAUUGUGUCUCUGUCUCCUUCAAUUCUUCUCUGAUGUUAGUUAUUUUUUGUCUUCUGCUAGCUUUUGGAUUAGUUUGCUCUUGCCUCUGUAGCUCUUUUAAUUGUGAUGUUAGGGUGUUGAUUUGAGAUCUUUCUAGCUUUCUGAUGCAGGCAUUUAGUGCUGUAAAUUUCCCUCUUAACACUGCUUUAGCUGUGUCCCAGAGAUUCUGGUAUAUUACCUUUGUUCUCAUUGGUUUCAAAUAACUUCUUGAUUUUUGCCUUAGUUUCAUUAUUUACCCAGGAGUCAUUCAGGAGCAGGUUGUUCAACUUCCAUGAAAUUGUGUGGUACUGAGUGAGCUUCUUAAUCCUGAGUUCUAAUUUGAUUGCACUGUCGUCUGAAAGACUGUUUGUUAUGAUUUCAGUUCUUUUGCAUUUGCUGAGGAGUGCUUUACUUCCAAUUAUAUGGUUGAUUUUAGCAUAAGUGCCAUAUGGCACUGGAAAGAAUGUAUAUUCUGUUGAUUUGGAGUAGAAAGGUCUGUAGACGUCUACUAGGUCCACUUGAUCCAGAGCUGAGUUCCAAGUCCUGAAUAUCCUUGUUAAUUUUCUGUCUCAUUGAUCUGUCUAAUACUGACAGUGGGGUGUUAAGGUCUCUCACUAUCACUGUGUGGGAGUCUAAGUCUCUUUGUAGGUCUCUAAGCAUAUGUUUUAUGAAUUUGAGUGCUCCAGUAUUGGGUACAUAUAUAUUCAGAAUAGUUAGCUCUUCUUGUUGAAUUGUUCCCUUUACCAUUACAUAGUGCCCUUCUUUUUUGAUCUUUGUUGGUUUAAAGUCUGUUUUGACAGAGACUAGGAUUGCAACCCCUGUUUUGUUGUUGUUGUUGUUGUUUCGUUUUUUUGUUUGUUUUUUUUUUUGCUUUCCAUUUGCUUGGUAAAUUUUCCUCCUUCCCUUUAUUUUGAGCCUGUGUGUCUUUGCAUGUAAGAUGGGUCUCCUGAAUACAGUACACUGACAGGUGUUGACUCGUUAUCCAAUUUGCCUGUCUGUGUCUUUUAAUUGGUGGCAUUCAGCCCAUUUACAUUUAAGGUUAGUAUUGUUAUAUGUGAAUUUGAUCCUGUCAUAAUGCUAUUUGAUUAUUUUGCACACUAGUUGAUCCAGUUUCUUCAUAGUGUCAUUGGUCUUUAUAUUUUGGUGUGUUUUUGCAGUGGCUGCUACCAGUUUUUCCUUUCCAUAUUUAGUGCUUCUUUCAGGAGCUGUUGCAGAGCAGGCCUGGUGGUAACAAAAUCCCUCAGCAUUUGCUUGUCUGGAAAGGAUUUUAUUUCUCCUUCGCUUAUGAAGCUUAGUUUGGCUGGAUAUGAAAUUCUGGGUUGAAAAUUAUUUUCUUUAAGAAUGUUGAAUAUUGACCCUCAAUCUCUUCUGGCUUAUAGAGUUUCUGUGAGAUGUCGGCUGUUAGUCUGAUGGGCUUCCCUUUGUAUGUGACCUGGCCUUUCUCUCUGGCUGCCCUUAACAGGUUUUCCUUCAUUUUAACUUCAGAGAAUCUGGCAAUUAUGUGUCUUGGGGUUGAUCUUCUCAUGGAGUAUCUUAAUGGUGUUGUCUGUAUUUUCUGAAUUUACAUGUUGGCCUGUCUUCCUAGGUUGGGGAAGUUUUCCUAGAUAAUAUCCUGAAGUGUGUUUUCUAGCUUGUUUCCAUUCUCCCCAUCUCCUUCUGCUACUCCAAUCAAUCGUAGGUUUGGCCUUUUUAUGAAGUCCCAUAUUUCUUGGAGGCUUUGUUCAUUCCUUUUCAUUCUUUUUUCUCUAUUCUUGUCUGUAUAUCUUAUUUCAGUAAGGUGGUCUUCAAACUCUGAUAUCCUUUCUUCCACUUGGUCGAUUCUGCUGUUGAUACUUGUGUAUGCUUCACGAAGUUCUCAUGCUGUGUUUUUCAGCUCCAUCAGGUUGGUUAUGUUCUUCUCUAAGCUGGUUAUUCUAGUUAGCAAUUGCUCUAACUUUUUAUGAAGGUUCUUAGCUUCUUUCCAUUGGGUUAGAACAUGCUCCAUUAGUUGAUCAUAAUUUUUUUAUUACACAUCUUCUGAAGUCUACUUCUGUCAAUUCAUCCCUCUGAUCCUCCGUCCAGUUCUGUGCCCUUGAUGGAGAGACACUGUGAUCAUGUGGAGGAAAAGAGGCACUCUGGCCUUUUGGGUUUUCAGCAUUUUUUUCAUUGAUUCUUUCUUAUCUUCAUGAGUUUGUCUAGUUUUGGUCUUUGAGGCUGCUGACCCUUAGAUGGGGUUUUUGUGGGGGCCUUUUUUGUUGUUGUUGUUGUCAUUUUCUGCUUCUUUGUUUUUCUUUAAAUAGGCCCCUUUUCUGUAGGGCUGCUGCAGUUUGCUGGGGUGAAUGGCCCUACUCAUCUGAUUUGCUCUUAUACCUGGAGAUGUCACUCAAGGAAGCUGGAAAGCAGCAAAGAUGGGUGCCUGCUCCUUUUUCUGGGACCUCUGACCUUGAGGGGCACCAGCCUGAUGCCAGUAGGAUCACUCCUGUAUAGGGUAUCUGACAACCCCUGUUGGAGGGUCUCACCCAGUUGGGUGACACAGGGAGCAGGACCCAUCUAAUGAAGCAAUUUGUCCCUUAGUAGAGAGGGUAUGUUUCACUGGGGGAAACCCACUUGUCUGGGCUGCCUGGAUUACUCAGAACUACCAGGAGGAGAGGCUAAGCCUGCUGGUCCACAGAGACUGCAGCCACCCCUCCCACUAGGGUCUCAGGCCCAGGGAGAUCCAAAUUCUGUCCCUGAGCCUCUGGCUGGAGUUAUUGGAGAUCCUGCAGGAAAGCCACUGAGGAAGGAUGGGUCAGAGUUAGACCUGAAGAGGCACUCUGGCCGCAGACUGCCACAGCUGGUGUGUUGGGCUGUGGGGACAAGUCAUGGGACCAAGCUGUCCAGCCUGCCUGGCUCCAGCAGGGGAAAAGCGCAGCCUGGAACUAUAGAAAUGGGUGCUGCCCUUCCCCUACCCAGGGGGCUUAGCAUGUUAGGCAGUUGCAAGUCCCAGUGCUGGCUGCUGCCCCUCCCACAAGGAGUUCAAAUGGCUUAGACAUCAGGCAGCUGCAGCCAGUGCUGGCCACCCUUCCUCAUGGGAAUUGGGUAAGCUUAAGCAGAUUCCAGCUGAGAGGCUGUACGAAUCUGCGCGUUCCAGGGUUGUGAUGCUAGCCCCAGUGGCGUGGGUUUGCAAGUGGAAUCUUCUGAUCUGUGGGUUGCACAGUUCCAUGGAAAAACAACAGUUUCCCUGGCUGGGUAGCACUCUUACUCACCACCUCCCCUGGCUUGGGGGAAGGGGGUUCCCCUUCCCCAUGUGGCUCUCAGGUGGGCUGCCACACCACACUGCUCUUCCUUCUCUGUGUGGGUAAUGCCAGCCUUCUAGUCAAUUUUGAUGAGAGAACCUGGAUACCUUGGUUGCUGGUGAAGGAUUCACAUGCUUAUGCUUUUUUUCCCAUAGGAGCCUCCUACAUGGUGCUGCUUCUAGUCGGCCGUCUUGGCCCCACCCCUAGUUUUGCAUGGCUGGGAGGCCUCAGGAAACUUAAAAUCAUGGCGCAAGGCAAAGGGAAAGCAACGCACCUUCUUCACAAGGCAGCAGGAGGGAGCUGGAGUGAUUUUCUAAGAAUAAUUCUGGCCAAACUUUCAUGCACUCCCGCAGCCAAACUCCAUUUGGAUCUAUUCAGGCAGGAAUCAUAUUUCAGCUCCUUAACUCUCAUAAGUGGAAACUGACACCAACUCAUUAUAAAACCUAAGUGGAAAAAAAAACCCUUCUCUGCCAUUUUUAUCUCCUUGUUUAUAGAUAAUUCAACUAAUAGGUAUUUUUACUUGUCAAUAUUGACAUGGUUGUUUUCAGUUCUGGUUGUAAUGAUGAAAAUCAUACUGAUUAUCACAGGUAUUGCUUGCCUCCCACAAGUGCACACCCUGCCUCCCUGCUAGAAGAGUCCCAAUUUGUACACUGGAUCCACAAUUUUCUCCUUUUUUUUUUUUUUUUUUUUAAGAGAUGGAGUCUUGCCAUGUUGCUCAGGCUGGUCUCAAAUUCCUGGGCUAGAGCAAUCCUCCCACCCUGGCCUUCCCAUGUGCUGGGAUUAUAGGAGUGAGCCACUGUGGCUGGCAAAUAGCCACACUUUUCACAUGAUCUCACGCUUCAGAAAAGGUAGGCUCCAGCCCCAAUCUUAAGGAGGGAAUUACAACUGGUCUAGUCAUAGGAACAUGAUUAAAUUCUGUCAAGCAAAAUGAAUGUACGUGGAAGUCUGUGGGGAGAAUGGGAAGUUGGAGAGAACCUGGAUCCUUGAUCAAAUCCCUGG
RNAcentral lists this long non-coding RNA (14773 nucleotides) under Homo sapiens (human). Its description in RNAcentral is "non-protein coding lnc-ERMARD-2:6". Lineage: Eukaryota; Metazoa; Chordata; Mammalia; Primates; Hominidae. The record is from RNAcentral.